GCCCUCGUAGCUCAGGGGAUAGAGCAGCGGCCUUCUAAUCCGCUUGUCGGUCGUUCGAGUCGACCCGGGGGCACCA
This 76-nucleotide transfer RNA is filed under the name Chloroflexota bacterium. RNAcentral describes it as "Chloroflexi bacterium tRNA-Arg". It matches the Rfam family "tRNA". Rfam says of the family: Transfer RNA (tRNA) molecules are approximately 80 nucleotides in length. Their secondary structure includes four short double-helical elements and three loops (D, anti-codon, and T loops). Lineage: Bacteria; Bacillati; Chloroflexota. The record is from RNAcentral.